AGCAGUAGCAGCAGAAGCUAGUGCUUUGAAUUAGUAGGUGUUGGUAGUCUCGAGUGAGCAACAAAGCUUGCAAAGCUAGACUAUUGAUCCAGAUGCAGCUAGAACUACAGAAAGACAUCAAAAAGCUCCUAAAAGGCCUAUUCGAAUUAGUGCUUGGAAGCUUGCAAAGCUAGACUCCAAUGGUGCCAUGAGAGCGGCAAAGCUUGCCAAACUAGACUCCUUAAGUAAAUUUUUGGAUGUGUAUUGCUAGGAGAGUAGUAUUAGAUGUACUCCUUUUGUAGAUGAAAGAUUACUUUGCACAAUCUACUUGUUGCAUGAUUUGGAUUAUAACAAUUUUUUCUAUAUAUUGAUCAGCUACUCUUAAUUUGA
Molecule: long non-coding RNA, 369 nt
Organism: Rosa rugosa (rugosa rose)
Lineage: Eukaryota; Viridiplantae; Streptophyta; Magnoliopsida; Rosales; Rosaceae
Exons: 2
Source: RefSeq, a predicted model, not a curated record